GAUACCGGACGACCGGUAUUCCUGAUCCGAUCAAUGGGGACGGCCCCG
This 48-nucleotide non-coding RNA is filed under the name Thalassospira sp. HJ. Its description in RNAcentral is "Guanidine-II riboswitch aptamer (mini-ykkC)". It matches the Rfam family "Guanidine-II riboswitch aptamer (mini-ykkC)". From Rfam's summary of the family: Simpler in structure and has fewer highly conserved nucleotide positions than the ykkC-yxkD leader. Despite this each of its two stem-loop structures directly bind free guanidine. RNAcentral also lists the same sequence under 1 other name. Lineage: Bacteria; Pseudomonadati; Pseudomonadota; Alphaproteobacteria; Rhodospirillales; Thalassospiraceae. The record is from Rfam by way of RNAcentral.